Molecule: unclassified non-coding RNA, 352 nt
Filed under: soil metagenome
Description: partial contains 5.8S ribosomal RNA, internal transcribed spacer 2, and large subunit ribosomal RNA
Rfam family: 5.8S ribosomal RNA (bases 1-120)
Source: RNAcentral
GAUGAAGAACGUAGUGAAAUGCGAUAAGUAGUGUGAAUUGCAGAAUUCAGUGAAUCAUCGAAUCUUUGAACGCACAUUGCGCCCGCCAGUAUUCUGGCGGGCAUGCCUGUUCGAGCGUCAUUACAACCCUCAGGCCCCCGGGCCUGGCGUUGGGGAUCGGCGGAGCCCCCCGUGGGCACACGCCGUCCCCCAAAUGCAGUGGCGGUCCCGCCGCAGCUUCCAUCGCGUAGUAGCUAACACCUCGCGACUGGAGAGCGGCGCGGCCACGCCGUAAAACACCCAACUCUUCUGAAGUUGACCUCGAAUCAGGUAGGAAUACCCGCUGAACUUAAGCAUAUCAAUAAGCGGAGGA